GCUUAACACAUGCCCUUCAAAAGGAAAGGCCCUGCUUUUGUGGGGUGCUCGAGUGGCGAACGGGUGAGUAACACGUGAGUAACCUGCCCUUGACUUUGGGAUAACUUCAGGAAACUGGGGCUAAUACCGGAUAGGAGCUCCUGCUGCAUGGUGGGGGUUGGAAAGUUUCGGCGGUUGGGGAUGGACUCGCGGCUUAUCAGCUUGUUGGUGGGGUAGUGGCUUACCAAGGCUUUGACGGGUAGCCGGCCUGAGAGGGUGACCGGCCACAUUGGGACUGAGAUACGGCCCAGACUCCUACGGGAGGCAGCAGUGGGGAAUAUUGCACAAUGGGCGGAAGCCUGAUGCAGCAACGCCGCGUGCGGGAUGACGGCCUUCGGGUUGUAAACCGCUUUCGCCUGUGACGAAGCGUGAGUGACGGUAAUGGGUAAAGAAGCACCGGCUAACUACGUGCCAGCAGCCGCGGUGAUACGUAGGGUGCGAGCGUUGUCCGGAUUUAUUGGGCGUAAAGGGCUCGUAGGUGGUUGAUCGCGUCGGAAGUGUAAUCUUGGGGCUUAACCCUGAGCGUGCUUUCGAUACGGGUUGACUUGAGGAAGGUAGGGGAGAAUGGAAUUCCUGGUGGAGCGGUGGAAUGCGCAGAUAUCAGGAGGAACACCAGUGGCGAAGGCGGUUCUCUGGGCCUUUCCUGACGCUGAGGAGCGAAAGCGUGGGGAGCGAACAGGCUUAGAUACCCUGGUAGUCCACGCUGUAAACGGUGGGUACUAGGCGUGGGGUCCAUUCCACGGGUUCCGUGCCGUAGCUAACGCUUUAAGUACCCCGCCUGGGGAGUACGGCCGCAAGGCUAAAACUCAAAGGAAUUGACGGGGCCCCGCACAAGCGGCGGAGCAUGCGGAUUAAUUCGAUGCAACGCGUAGAACCUUACCUGGGUUUGACAUGGAUCGGGAGUGCUCAGAGAUGGGUGUGCCUCUUUUGGGGUCGGUUCACAGGUGGUGCAUGCCUGUCGUCAGCUCGUGUCGUGAGAUGUUGGGUUAAGUCCCGCAACGAGCGCAACCCUUGUUCACUGUUGCCAGCACGUUAUGGUGGGGACUCAGUGGAGACCGCCGGGGUCAACUCGGAGGAAGGUGGGGAUGACGUCAAGUCCUCAUGCCCCUUAUGUCCAGGGCUUCACGCAUGCUACAAUGGCUGGUACAGAGAGUGGCGAGCCUGUGAGGGUGAGCGAAUCUCGGAAAGCCGGUCUCAGUUCGGAUUGGGGUCUGCAACUCGACCUCAUGAAGUCGGAGUCGCUAGUAAUCGCAGAUCAGCAACGCUGCGGUGAAUACGUUCCCGGGGCU
Molecule: ribosomal RNA, 1328 nt
Filed under: uncultured bacterium
Lineage: Bacteria
Description: bacterial SSU rRNA
Rfam family: Bacterial small subunit ribosomal RNA
Source: RNAcentral